GUGAGGAAUAUUGGUCAAUGGGCGGGAGCCUGAACCAGCCAAGUCGCGUGAAGGAAGAAGGAUCUAUGGUUCGUAAACUUCUUUUGCAGGGGAAUAAAGUGCAGGACGUGUCCUGUUUUGUAUGUACCCUGAGAAUAAGGAUCGGCUAACUCCGUGCCAGCAGCCGCGGUAAUACGGAGGAUCCGAGCGUUAUCCGGAUUUAUUGGGUUUAAAGGGUGCGUAGGUGGUUUGAUAAGUCAGCGGUGAAAGUUUGCAGCUUAACUGUAAAAUUGCCGUUGAAACUGUCGAUCUUGAGUGCAAAUGAGGUAAGCGGAAUGUGUUGUGUAGCGGUGAAAUGCUUAGAUAUAACACAGAACACCGAUUGCGAAGGCAGCUUACUGGGAUGCAACUGACGCUCAUGCACGAAAGCGUGGGGAUCAAACAGGAUUAGAAACCCGAGUAGUCC
This 445-nucleotide ribosomal RNA is filed under the name uncultured bacterium. Its description in RNAcentral is "partial 16S ribosomal RNA". It matches the Rfam family "Bacterial small subunit ribosomal RNA", at positions 354 to 796 of the family's 1533-position model. The record is from RNAcentral.